GGGUUUAUAGCUCAGUGGUAGAGUGCAGGCACAGGGUCCUGGGUUCAAUCCCCAGUACCUCCA
RNAcentral lists this transfer RNA (63 nucleotides) under Camelus bactrianus (Bactrian camel). It matches the Rfam family "tRNA". From Rfam's summary of the family: Transfer RNA (tRNA) molecules are approximately 80 nucleotides in length. Lineage: Eukaryota; Metazoa; Chordata; Mammalia; Artiodactyla; Camelidae. RNAcentral also lists the same sequence under 1 other name. The record is from Rfam by way of RNAcentral.